AGUGAACGCUGGCGGUAGGCCUAACACAUGCAAGUCGAACGGCAGCACAGUAAGAGCUUGCUCUUACGGGUGGCGAGUGGCGGACGGGUGAGGAAUACAUCGGAAUCUACUUUUUCGUGGGGGAUAACGUAGGGAAACUUACGCUAAUACCGCAUACGACCUACGGGUGAAAGCAGGGGAUCUUCGGACCUUGCGCGAUUGAAUGAGCCGAUGUCGGAUUAGCUAGUUGGCGGGGUAAAGGCCCACCAAGGCGACGAUCCGUAGCUGGUCUGAGAGGAUGGUCAGCCACACGGGAACUGAGAAACGGUCCAGACUCCUACGGGAGGCAGCAGUGGGGAAUAUUGGACAAUGGGCGCAAGCCUGAUCCAGCAAUACCGCGUGGGUGAAGAAGGCCUUCGGGUUGUAAAGCCCUUUUGUUGGGAAAGAAAAGCAGCAGGUUAAUACCCCGCUGUUCUGACGGUACCCAAAGAAUAAGCACCGGCUAACUCCGUG
Molecule: ribosomal RNA, 492 nt
Filed under: uncultured bacterium
Lineage: Bacteria
Description: partial 16S ribosomal RNA
Rfam family: Bacterial small subunit ribosomal RNA
Source: RNAcentral